UGAUACAGAAGAGGAGCGUUAACUAGGUAGUAAGCCCGAGGAGUCCAAACUCCGUUGACGGUUUAUGAGGGAGAUUAACGCCGAGGUAAAGAGAUGUUUGGUUUCAUCUAUUUAUCGGUCGACUGGGCUGAAUCCCAUCGAUUGUCACCUGUUUUUUGGUGGAGAGCUUCUGGUGGC
This 177-nucleotide non-coding RNA is filed under the name Shewanella loihica PV-4. RNAcentral's name for it is "Lysine riboswitch aptamer". It matches the Rfam family "Lysine riboswitch aptamer". From Rfam's summary of the family: Riboswitches are metabolite binding domains within certain messenger RNAs that serve as precision sensors for their corresponding targets. Allosteric rearrangement of mRNA structure is mediated by ligand binding, and this results in modulation of gene expression. Lineage: Bacteria; Pseudomonadati; Pseudomonadota; Gammaproteobacteria; Alteromonadales; Shewanellaceae. RNAcentral also lists the same sequence under 1 other name. The record is from Rfam by way of RNAcentral.